Molecule: long non-coding RNA, 1254 nt
Filed under: Homo sapiens (human)
Lineage: Eukaryota; Metazoa; Chordata; Mammalia; Primates; Hominidae
Description: HSALNT0325909
Source: RNAcentral
GGGGAGGCCCAGGACACUGCACUGCCAAGGGCAGAGCACCACUCAACCACGGGGUUCUUGCUAUUAACACUUCACACCCUGACUCUCUGCAGACAUUUCCUCCUAAGAGACUCGUUGCCGCCCUCUGAGACAAGCUCUUCAGGCCUGCUGAGAGUGUCAGGUGGCAAGAUGAAAGAGAUUUCCAGCUGUGACUUGUAAUCACACUGCCUCAAUGUAUAUACUGCAAGGAUGAAUAGCCUUUACCUCAACAAACAGCAGUUACAUUGGACAGAACAACAAGAGAUUGCUCCUGUAUAAAUAUUUUGAUCGGAUGACUCCAACUUGAAGGUCUGGUGGAAGUCAUCUUGAGGAGAACACAGAGAAUCAUCACUGUUAUGCUCAUUAAUUUGAAUCAUCAGUGUCCAUGAAGCCUUUUGUCCUAACCAAUGGUUCUCUUACGGGAAUAAUAAACCAAGAUGUUAUGAUACCAAGCUGGAGAAACCACUUAAGGCCAUAUAAUGGGCAACCCCCUGGUCUCCAGAGGCUAGAGUUGAUCACCUGAGGGAUGACCUGGAUAUCUGGGUCAUAACAUCCACUGUUCUCCCACUUAGUACCGGCUUCUGAUUCUCAAACCUUUCUAUUUCAGAGGGAAAAUGUUUAAGCAAUUAUUUUCUGAUUUUCGGUAAUGCGUGUUAAGUUGACUCGUUCAUGUAUGAAUGUUACCCUGGUCAGCCCCGUAACACCCCAGGCACUGGUCUGUGAUGUGCAACCUCCUGACCGAGUGUGGGCUCUUGUGCUAGAUUAAAUUCCUAGAGCUUGAACCACUGCGUGACUGGCGAUGUCCUCCUGGGGAAAGGAGCCAAUAGGCAUUAAGUGUGCUGUCAUUUCAGCUGGUCUCCUCACUAAACACACUGCAGAGAUUAUUUUUUAAAAAGGUAAACAGAGCCAGGCAUGGUGGCUCAUGCCCGUAGUUCCAACUACUCAGGAGGCUGAGGUGAAAGGAAACCCUUAGCCCAGGAGUUCCAGGCUGGUGAAGAUCAUCUUGAGAACAUAGAGAAUCAGAACUGUUUUGCACCUAAUUAAUUUGACUCAUCAGUGUCCCUUAUACCUUUUGUCUUAACCAGUGAUCUCCUAUAGGUAUAGUAAAAACUAAGAUGUUACAGGAGUUCGAGGCUACAGCGAGGUAUGAUCGUGUCACUGCACUUUAGCCUGGGUGACAGAGAAAGACCCCAUCUCUAAAAAAAGAAAUAAAAAUAAAAGGCAAACCUAAUGGAG